This is a long non-coding RNA of Astyanax mexicanus (Mexican tetra), 2574 nucleotides long. RefSeq lists it as uncharacterized. The transcript has 2 exons. The record is from RefSeq and is a predicted model, not a curated record. Lineage: Eukaryota; Metazoa; Chordata; Actinopteri; Characiformes; Acestrorhamphidae.
GGUAAGGCACUUUUCAUCGGACCAUGGCUCAAAUUUGCUGCCACGUUCGGAGCUCUAGGAAGCUUCCAGGGGCUUCAGGAGGCACAGAGCAAUCAGCGGAAGGUGACGGGGGGGUUGGGUUUGAAGCUGCAGCCUCUGUUGUAGAUCCUCGCACCUCCGCCUCAUGUGAGGACUGCUGGGAAAGUGAGAAUGAGCGCUGCUAAAGAGGAGCUAAUUACAUUUCUGUAGCUAACAAAAAAAAAGGCAGCGGGAAAAAGCCAGGCAAGGAGGGAAACACAAGAGACGGAGAGGGGUGACGGAGAAAAGAGAAAAGGCGGGAGGGAGGCAGAGAGAUGGUGGGGGCGGAUACAUUUGUCACCAUGCCUGUGUGAUGUUCUUCUCGAGCUGCUAAGAGGGUCAAAGAGACAGAAAGAGCAAAGGAGGAGAGAAUGAACGUGUGCAUGUGGAGGAGAAAGGAACAGCGAGAGGGAGAGAGACGGAAUGUGAGUGAGAGGGAGGGGGCUGUGGUGGCGUUCGGGAGAGGGAGGGAGAAUGGAGAGAAUGAGAGCGAGGGAGAAAGAGAGAGGGAAACAGAAAGAGAGGGAGGAGAGGAAAGCAAAGGAUUUCUCAGAGCCCUGUGAACGCUGCUGAAAGCUGUUAGCUGCUAGCCGCUCAGUAAGGUGGAUAAAGAACAAAUAACGCCACAGCAGAGGCACCGGGCGACCACUGCAAGAACAAAACAGGGGCUUAACCCAGGCUAGGGCUGGGGAAAUAAAAACCACGGAACACGGACUACGAGACAAUGUAUGAGAGAGAGAGAGGGUGAGCGAGAGAGGGAAGAGAGAGAGGGGAGGGACGCUGGGGAUGGAAAGCGCCGUCUGCUCUGCGUAACACACACACAGCUCAGCACAGCUCACGGAGAUGCCGCUGUAGACCUGCUCUCGCGCUCCCGCUCCAUUCAGCUUUCUCUGUAAUUUUUUCCUCCUUCGGGGCUCGGGGACGGCCGACUGUUGGCCAGCUGGCCCUCAUGUGGGCCCCGGCCCAGCGACCCCUCUAUUUUGAGGACCCUGGGGCAUGUCGCCUCCCAAGGCUAGCCUCACACACUGUAGGAUAAACAACAGGGAGCGAAAGGUGGGCGUUCAGGAUGGGCACGACGACCAUCAGCAUUGAGGAGGUGCGAGCGCUCGAAGGGAAGGAGGAGAGGGAAGAGUCCAUCCUGGCUUUGCUGGGCAUCAUCGGGACUUUCCUUAACCUCUUUGUCAUCGUCUUCGUCUACAUCUACACCACCCUGUGAGGUCUCAGAGUUUGGGAGGGAGAAGCAACAAAAAAAAAAAAACAAAUAUAGGUGACUGUGCUUGGCCAUAGGUGAAGGUGUGAAAGAGGGAGAGGGUGGGAGUGGGUGGGGCCAGAGGACAGAGAUAUGUUGGAAGACGGGGAGGACGAAUACCACAGUGAAGACCUGGGAAGAUAACACUGGGCCGCACUGGAUGGACAGUAGGGGGCUCUAAGGACAGAUCAUGGGACUUUAUUGGCUGGACAGCAAGUACACAAAAGGUUAAGGAACACUGGACCAUCCAGGGAGGUAACAAAACAACAGCAGAGAGCAAAAGGUGAUUAACAUUGGACAAAAAAUGAAUGAAUUUGGGCAAAUUAAGUAAGCAGCAGAAAGGGACUCUGUGUAAGACCAAACAAGGGACUGUGGAUCUGCUGUACUGGAGUCCUACUUCAUCAACAGGACUACUUGAUGAUCACUCUAGGACACAGAAGAGGGUACUCUUAUGCCAAAACAUAUGCUGAAACCCUGCACUUAAGAAAUUGGAUAUAAAUUGGUGACAUGCAUCGACCAGCACUGGAACCCUGUGGGUCAAUGUCAAAGAUUGGCCCUCUUACAUCCAUAUCUUCUGGGCUUGCUCUUGAUAUCUCAAUCACAUUGGCAAGAAGGAAAUUACAUUCUCCCUGGUACCGGCAAUUAUGUCAAGUCGCGUCGAGCUUCCAUGAUGUGGACUUCAAACUUGCGAAGUGCGUCUCAAACAGAUGCACACUCUGCGGAAAGUAUCACAGGGAAGGCUAUGUCAGUGUUCCCUUAUUACUGCAACAACGAACAAAAGUGAAAGAUCGGACUGUUCCCGCUCGCCAACGCUUCCAGCAGAAGAGCUGAGAUGGGAUCUGCAAUAAGAACUGUGUGUGGAAGAGAGGGGGUUGGGAGAGAUCGAGAAAUAUUUUUCUACUUUAAAUUAAAACGGAACUGGUUCGUGGGGAUGAAGGUACGAGGAAAGAAAGCAAGUAACAUCUCUUGGAUGGUUAGAAACACUACCAGAUAUGUGAGGUAUACAGGCUAUGCUGAAGCUAUUGGACUGACUGGUCCUUGUCUUUUUUUCUUUUUAUUCCAGCAUGGUUCAACUUGCUGUCCGACUGCCAGCAGAGAAGGAAAAAAGGACAAACCCUUGUCUAUUGCCUCUCCCUGAUGUCAGGGUGGGGCUAAACAUACAUUUCUGUACAAAGGACAAAAGCUUUUAUAUGAAUAUAUUAUUACCUAAUAGAUGUACUGUGCAAUAGAACAUUUGAUCAAUAAAAUGAAAUGUAUUCAGAGGGUUA